This 494-nucleotide ribosomal RNA is filed under the name uncultured bacterium. RNAcentral describes it as "partial 16S ribosomal RNA". It matches the Rfam family "Bacterial small subunit ribosomal RNA", at positions 28 to 507 of the family's 1533-position model. The record is from RNAcentral.
GACGAACGCUGGCGGCGUGCUUAACACAUGCAAGUCGAACGGAAAGGCCUGCUUUCCCUUGUGGAUUGCGGGUACUCGAGUGGCGAACGGGUGAGUAACACGUGAGUGAUCUGCCCCCAACUUGGGUAUAAGCCUGGGAAACUGUGUCUAAUUCCCGAUAGGACUGCAGGGUGGUGCCUGUGGUGGGAAACGAUUUUCUAGUGGUUGGGGAUGAGCUCGCGGCCUAUCAGCUUGUUGGUGGGGUAAUGGCCUACCAAGGCGGCGACGGGUAGCCGGCCUGAGAGGGUGGACGGCCACAUUGGGACUGAGAUACGGCCCAGACUCCUACGGGAGGCAGCAGUGGGGAAUAUUGCACAAUGGGCGGAAGCCUGAUGCAGCGACGCCGCGUGGGGGAUGACGGCCUUCGGGUUGUAAACUCCUUUCGACCGCGAGGAAGCCACCUGGUUGGAAGGGUGGUGACGGUAGUGGUAGAAGAAGCACCGGCUAACUACGUG